Seriola dumerili (greater amberjack) is the source of this 792-nucleotide long non-coding RNA. RefSeq lists it as uncharacterized. The transcript has 5 exons. The record is from RefSeq and is a predicted model, not a curated record. NCBI's taxonomy places the organism in Eukaryota, Metazoa, Chordata, Actinopteri, Carangiformes, Carangidae.
CUACGUCACAUCCGGGCAGAAAUUUCAGUUGAACACAGCGAGGGGACGGCGCUGCAGAGACUGGAGACGUUUCUGUGCCACAGACUAAACAUGACGAGGAGUGCUGAGCUGAGUCCAGGCCCGGCUGUACUCACAGCUCCUGACUGACACCUGAUCCUCACGUGGGAGUCUGACAAAACACUGAAGAUUCAGUGAUGGACUGGAGACCUGAACAAGGUGACCCCACCAUGUCACCCCCCAACCCCGUGAAGGAUAAGUGGGUGUAACGGAUGGAUGGGAGGCGGCUUCCAGACCCCUGCGGAGGAGGAGGAGCUGGGAGUCAGCUGACAUCGACAUGGAGGGAUCACAGGAAAUAAAAGCACAGAAGAAGAAAUGUGUUGAAUGGUCCAGACCCAAACCAAAGCCCCAGGCCGCUGAAGUUCAUCCUGGUCUCACUCACAUGAGCUCCCAGGUGUCACUGCGCAUCAGUAAUUUAUCUAUAGAAGAAGAAACCUGCAGCUUGUGGAGUGAAGUGGGUGCAUUAGUUUUUCUGACAAUAAAAAUAAUAAAACUAUUACUAACCCCUACUGGGGAAUAGUAGGAACAACAUCUGCAGAUUUCUCACAUCAUCCCUUUGCAAUCCUUGAAUUACUGAAACGUUUCUCACCCUAAAGUAAUUAGUGGUUGUAGCCAUGUUUUUCUAGACAAAAACCAAGGUUACCAGCUGUGGCCCUCUGCAUCAUGUCCCUUAUACUUUCAUCAUUAGUCUUUGUAAAGAUAUGAAAGACUUGAAAUAAACUUGAUCUGAACAUA